This is a long non-coding RNA of Notolabrus celidotus (New Zealand spotty), 2624 nucleotides long. RefSeq lists it as uncharacterized. The record is from RefSeq and is a predicted model, not a curated record. Lineage: Eukaryota; Metazoa; Chordata; Actinopteri; Labriformes; Labridae. The transcript is spliced from 3 exons.
GGAAACUGCUUCAGUCUUGUCUCCCGCAUCGAGCAAACUAACGAGCACCAUUUUAAACUGAUGACUGUUUGUUUAAAUUCCGCUGUACAUGACUUGGACGGCGAAGCUUUGACAGUUGCCAAAGUUGGAUUUACUUUUUCGCCACUUCAGACAGAUCCCAGCGGUGAUCGCGUGGACAUGGAGAGUCUGUAAAUAAAAAUACUGCGCGAGGUACCGAGGGCGCAGUUUUGCUUCAGACGAUGUUUCAUCUUGAGGGCAAGAUUGUCUUGCAGACGGAAAUAAACUGACUCAACCGGUGUAAGGAGUCAAAUCUGGAAUAAAAGUUGUCUUUCAUGUUAUCUCUGCCUUCACUGACUCCUUCACGCAGAUAGAGACACACUGACCCGGGGGUCCCCGGGUUCCCGGCCUGAUUAACCCUUAAGGAGCCGCACCGGAGCAAAUGUUAACCAGGCUAAUCAACUCCAAGAGUCUGAUUGAAUUAGAUGACUGUGGGAUCAGCACAGAAACUAUACUGCUCCAAAUCUGAAAAAAAAACAUGAAGUCAAAUUUUUUGAUCUAUUUUACAAAAUUGUAUCAAUUUAAUUUCUAAAUAAAUAAUGAAAAAUCCACAAACAGCAUAUGGUAACAUGCAACAGGUUUCUAGUUUACAAUAAAAAAUAAUCAGCAAAAUUCAACAUUUAAAACUCUUGUUAUAAACAGCGUUAUGGUAUAUUUCUCCUUCAUAAAGAUAUCUCUUGAUUGAUGGUGACAAUGUGCCCCACAUCUCAUCACAUUAGUACCUGCUGCAUGACACAAAAGCCAUCUAAAGGUUUCUGUGUCUUCUCUCUUUAAAGCUCUGUACUGUUGUGAUGCUGCCAUGUGCACACAUGAAAAAGAACUGGAGCAAUUAGUCUCAUGUCUGCUUUACAUUUAGCCUCAUUAAGGUGAAGACUAUUUGCUGACUAAACACAGUUUAAGUUUCACAAAGCUGUAAUGGACUUUAAGGGCCAGAUAAUUACAACAUGAUAUAUAAACUAAACCCUGUAAUAUAAGAAUAUUUAACAUUUUAAUUUGACUAUCUAAAUGAUCUGUUUAAUAUGACAACGAAAAUCAUUAUCUCAACAGUUGCAAGAUUUAGACUUUUUUAACAUAUGGCUUUUAUCUCAGUGAGGUAUUCUUUGUGCGCUCUCUUACGGCACUUUCAUGGUUUAGGAUGUGACUGACUUUCUUUGUGGUUGAAUUUAAACACAGCUAUUACAGACUUUUACAACAAAAAGUAUUCGGGUCUUUAGAUUUACCUUGAUGUUAUUUGGCUUCCUAAUUAAAUAUAAUAAGGAAAAUUAUCACAAUUAAAUUCACCUUAUGGUAAAAACUGCACAUGUGACAUUUGGAUAUUUGGAUGUAUGCACAAGUAUUUAAGCUAGACAGAGAUGUAGUAAAACUUUCUAAAGACACAGUCUAUCACUCAUUUUAUGUGAAGGUGUGCGUCGGUGUGAGCAAACAUAGUUGCCUUUUCUAAAGAGUUCCUUCAGUGCUGUAGAUCACUCUCUUUCUCUGUCUGCAUGCCUCAGGGGCUGCUAUCUGAAAAGGCAAUAGAUUCUAGCUAGCUCACUGUGUUCAAUUUGCCAAUGAUAGAUUAUAGUGCCAAUUUAAACAGAUAGGGAUCAAUUUGUCUCAAUGAUCACUCUUUAGGCUGACUGCCAGCGUGCUCUUAAUGUAUUUGUAAAUGCAGCUUGUUCAAAUCGCUGCUGUUGGGUUGAAAGUGAUAAAAACUGUAACACAGAGAUGAUAUGUGAAAUGAUAAAUGAUGGCUUAUUUUGGCUGCUGAAGAUGGAGAUAGAUGGAGCAUGCAUGGUGAUGACUGGAGGCAGCGGCAUUGUAGCAGCGCUGACCAGAAGGUCAAGGGUUUAACUGGGAGGACUUGCUGGGAAAGUCUGGGUAGGGGAAUUGUGUGGUGAGUGCUCUCUAACCCUUUAGGAACUACUGCUGAAGUACCCUUCGGCAAAGCAGCUUAAACCCCAUCUGUCCCAGUGGAGCUGCACAGCCACCAGCAGUACAACACUGUGUCUCUUUGAGUGUGACCACCCUCCCUUUUCUUUUAGAGAGUGGACAGUCCACUUGCCUGACACUUUUUUUUAUCACUCCAUGUACUCAGACAGUGAAAAAAGUUUAGGAGAAGACGAGAGAGAAAGCUGCUGCAGCCAGACAUGGUUCACAUGUGGCCCCAGAGGCAGCAGACAUUGGAUUGAAUUACUGUAACACAAGGUGUAAUGUGGGAGCAGGGUGGAUGUCAAAGGAGCGGAUGUAGAGGAGGGACACUCCAGCUUUCUAUUACACCUAUUUAAUGUUGGAUUAUGUGGUUUAUUUCUCUCAAAUUUCAGCUAACUAUUAAUUAGUUCAAAAGGCUGCCACAGUUUCUAUACUGAUCAUCAGGGUAUCAUUAGGAUGAAUGUGUGAUUGUUACACUGUUGGCUGUUAAAUCGAACUAAACUAUAGCAUGGGGUUACAUGAUUUGUAGAGCAGGGAGAAAAAUACCACAAAUAAUGCAGUCAUACCUUAUAAAGAUUUGGCAAUUUUUAAACAGUGUACUUUCAUGUGAAAUGUAUGUAUGUGAUGAACAAUAAAGUAUUUCUGUUGUAAAUGAA